GACGAACGCUGGCGGCGUGCUUAACACAUGCAAGUCGAACGGAAAGGCCCCUUUGGGGGUACUCGAGUGGCGAACGGGUGAGUAACACGUGAGUAACCUGCCCUUGACUUCGGGAUAACUUCAGGAAACUGGGGCUAAUACCGGAUAGGAAUCCUUGCUGCAUGGUGGGGGUUGGAAAGCUUCGGCGGUUUUGGAUGGACUCGCGGCUUAUCAGCUUGUUGGUGGGGUAGUGGCUUACCAAGGCUUUGACGGGUAGCCGGCCUGAGAGGGCGACCGGCCACAUUGGGACUGAGAUACGGCCCAGACUCCUACGGGAGGCAGCAGGGGGGAAUAUUGCACAAUGGGCGGAAGCCUGAUGCAGCAACGCCGCGGGCGGGAUGACGGCCUUCGGGUUGUAAACCGCUUUCAGCAGGGGCGAAGCUUGUGGUGACGGUACCUGCAGAAGAAGCACCGGCUAACUACGUG
RNAcentral lists this ribosomal RNA (465 nucleotides) under uncultured bacterium. Its description in RNAcentral is "partial 16S ribosomal RNA". It matches the Rfam family "Bacterial small subunit ribosomal RNA", at positions 28 to 507 of the family's 1533-position model. The record is from RNAcentral.